This 539-nucleotide ribosomal RNA is filed under the name Limosilactobacillus reuteri. RNAcentral describes it as "bacterial LSU rRNA". It matches the Rfam family "Bacterial large subunit ribosomal RNA", at positions 1 to 530 of the family's 2925-position model. Lineage: Bacteria; Bacillati; Bacillota; Bacilli; Lactobacillales; Lactobacillaceae. The record is from RNAcentral.
UUAGGUUAAGUUAUGAAGGGCGCAUGGUGAAUGCCUUGGUACUAGGAGCCGAUGAAGGACGGGACUAACACCGAUAUGCUUCGGGGAGCGGUAAGUACGCUUUGAUCCGGAGAUUUCCGAAUGGGGCAACCCAAUCAGCUUAGUCGCUGAUUACUUGACUAGUGAAUACAUAGCUAGCAAGAGGUAGACGCAGUGAACUGAAACAUCUUAGUAGCUGCAGGAAGAGAAAGAAACAUCGAUUCCCUGAGUAGCGGCGAGCGAAAAGGGAAGAGCCCAAACCAACAAGCUUGCUUGUUGGGGUUGUAGGACUGAACAUUAGAGUUACCAAAGUGCGACGUAGUCGCAACAGUUGGGAAGCUGUGCCAUAGAGGGUGAAAGCCCCGUAGACGAAACGUCCCACUCUCUGUUCAGGAUCCUGAGUACGGCGGGACACGCGACACCCCGUCGGAAUCCGACAGGGCCCGUCCGCCCGGGACACAUCCCCCCUCGUGCCCCAAAGGGCGCCAGACCCGGGAGGGCACCGCAAACAGCACCCCGGG